UACGGAGGGAGCUAGCGUUGUUCGGAAAUACUGGGCGUAAAGCGCACGUAGGCGGCGCAGCAAGUCAGGGGUGAAAUCCCGGGGCUCAACCCCGGGACUGCCCUUGAAACUGCAGUGCUAGAAUCUUGGAGAGGCGAGUGGAAUUCCGAGUGUAGAGGUGAAAUUCGUAGAUAUUCGGAAGAACACCAGUGGCGAAGGCGACUCGCUGGACAAGUAUUGACGCUGAGGUGCGAAAGCGUGGGGAGCAAACAGG
RNAcentral lists this ribosomal RNA (253 nucleotides) under uncultured bacterium. Its description in RNAcentral is "partial 16S ribosomal RNA". It matches the Rfam family "Bacterial small subunit ribosomal RNA", at positions 524 to 776 of the family's 1533-position model. The record is from RNAcentral.